UGGCUAUAGCUAAAUAAAUCGAUCGAUAGAUCUCAGAAGUUUACUGGUCAAUUGUAAGAUUUUCAUCUGUGUCAAUAUAUCUGCUUACCGAACUUCUUAAUUCU
Macadamia integrifolia is the source of this 104-nucleotide small nucleolar RNA. RefSeq annotates it as small nucleolar RNA snoR109. The record is from RefSeq and is a predicted model, not a curated record. The transcript has a single exon. Lineage: Eukaryota; Viridiplantae; Streptophyta; Magnoliopsida; Proteales; Proteaceae.